This 433-nucleotide ribosomal RNA is filed under the name uncultured bacterium. RNAcentral describes it as "partial 16S ribosomal RNA". It matches the Rfam family "Bacterial small subunit ribosomal RNA", at positions 29 to 507 of the family's 1533-position model. The record is from RNAcentral.
AACGAACGCUGGCGGCAUGCCUAACACAUGCAAGUCGAACGAGACCUUCGGGUCUAGUGUCGCACGGGUGCGUAACGCGUGGGAACCUGCCCUUAGGUUCGGAAUAACUCCCCGACAGGGGUGCUAAUACCGGAUAAUGUCUUCGGCCCAAAGAUUUAUCGCCUUUGGAUGGGCCCGCGUUGGAUUAGCUAGUUGGUAGGGUAAAAGCCUACCAAGGCCACGAUCCAUAGCUGGUCUGAGAGGAUGAUCAGCCACACUGGGACUGAGACACGGCCCAGACUCCUACGGGAGGCAGCAGUGGGGAAUAUUGGACAAUGGGCGAAAGCCUGAUCCAGCAAUGCCGCGUGAGUGAUGAAGGCCUUAGGGUUGUAAAGCUCUUUUACCCGGGAUGAUAAUGACAGUACCGGGAGAAUAAGCUCCGGCUAACUCCGUG